Molecule: ribosomal RNA, 440 nt
Filed under: uncultured bacterium
Lineage: Bacteria
Description: partial 16S ribosomal RNA
Rfam family: Bacterial small subunit ribosomal RNA
Source: RNAcentral
UCUACGGGUGACUGCAGUGGGGGAUAUUGCACAAUGGGGGAAACCCUGAUGCAGCGACGCCGCGUGUGGGAAGACGGUCCUCUGGAUUGUAAACCACUGUCCCCAGGGACGAAAAUGACGGUACCUGGGGAGGAAGCUCCGCCUAACAACGUGCCAGCAGCAGCGGUAAUACGUAGGGGGCGAGCGUUGUCCGGAAUUACUGGGUGUAAGGGGAGGGUAGGCGGGGAUGCAAGUUGGAGGUAAAAACUACCGGCUAAACUGGUAGUCGCACUUAAAACUGCAGCUCUUGAGUGAAGUAGAGGCAGGCGGAAUUCCUAGUGUAGCGGUGAAAUGCGUAGAUAUUAGGAGGAACACCAGUGGCGAAGGCGGCCUGCUGGGCUUUUACUGACGCUGAGGCUCGAAAGUGUGGGGAGCAAACAGGAUUAGAUACCCCAGUAGUC